UACGUAGGGGGCAAGCGUUGUCCGGAAUCAUUGGGCGUAAAGAGCGUGUAGGCGGCUAGAUAAGUCCGCUCUGAAAGCCCGGGGCUCAACCCCGGGAGGCGGGCGGAAACUGUCGGGCUAGAGUCCGGAAGAGGCGAGUGGAAUUCCCGGUGUAGCGGUGAAAUGCGCAGAUAUCGGGAGGAACACCAAUGGCGAAGGCAGCUCGCUGGGACGUGACUGACGCUGAGACGCGAAAGCGUGGGGAGCAAACAGG
RNAcentral lists this ribosomal RNA (253 nucleotides) under uncultured bacterium. Its description in RNAcentral is "partial 16S ribosomal RNA". It matches the Rfam family "Bacterial small subunit ribosomal RNA", at positions 524 to 776 of the family's 1533-position model. The record is from RNAcentral.